Molecule: long non-coding RNA, 1417 nt
Filed under: Calidris pugnax (ruff)
Lineage: Eukaryota; Metazoa; Chordata; Aves; Charadriiformes; Scolopacidae
Description: lncRNA (ENSCPUG00000003338.1)
Source: RNAcentral
AUGGUGACAAGAGCACGGGGCGGCAGCAUCUCUUCACUCCAAGGGCAGGAGCUCAAAGACAGGGCUGUUGCGGGUGCGGAAGACGGCGACGAUGGCCUGGCUCCCGGGAUCAUCGGGAUGUCCUGGAGGAGGGAAAGGGAAGGAGCAGUGAGGAUUCCCCUGGUCCGAGGGACCGCACCGGGACACAGGUGGGUCCCCCAACACCGGACGGGGGGGUGGAGGGGGCAAAGCUGGCUGCGGAUGGCGUUUUCCUCCCCUCAAGAUGGGGCUUUCAAAGACCCUUCAGUGAUUUUAAAGCCGGCUCCAAGCUCUUGGGGGUUUUGGCCAAGAAGGGUUUGUAGAAGAGAUGAGGCAUCUCCUUUGGAACCCCCCCGCAGUGUGACAUGGGGGGUCCUUUGGAACCCCCCCAGCCUAUAAGACAUGACGUGGGGGUCCCACGCUCUGAAGUGAAGGUUGGUGGGGGUUUUUUUCCAUCCCAUCCCAAUUUCUGCACCAAAAUCCUCACAGGACCUCCCUGGAGGCGCAGAGGAUGGGGCCAGGGGGGGCAGCUACGGGAGUCCUGGUACCCCCAGGCUCUCCCCCCAUCCAGUUUCUUCCCCACCCAACUUUAAGCAUAGCAAAAAAACCCUAGCUUUGGCCCAGUGGCUUCAGCUCUGUCCCCACUGGUGAUAAGGCCGGGGGACACCAAGGCAGCAGCACCCCCAGCACUGUAUUUUGCUGCUCCCUCCAAGGUCUGCUUUGUCCGGGAGAGCCCGAAUGGCUCCAUUAUCCCGGGAGUUGCUCCUAAAAAACACGGAGCCAAGAGGCCCAGUUGGGCUUCCAGGCACAAUGUGGGGUGGGAAAGGCGAUUCAUCCCACUGGGAAUGGGGAGGGAACUGGGACACAUCCCAGUACAGGGGAGUGGAGUCCUGGUGAGGAAGGAUGGAAGGUGGGUGCUGCCUUCCCUGUCCCAAGUUGGGUCCCCCAGGGAUUGAAUUUGUGUUUAAUAUCCUUAUAAACGAUCUGGGUGGUGGGAUCCAGUUUGUCCUGGUGACAUUUGCUGGUGGCACCAAACCUUACUGGGGGAGUGGGCCCUUGGGGGAGGGCGACCACCCUGGAUGGGGCUGGAAGAGUUGGGUAACAAGAACCUUGUGAGGUUCAACAAGGACAAAAGCAAGGUCUUGCAUCUUGGAAAAGCAAAUCCUGGAGCUCAGAAGAGGCUGGGAUCUGCUCCAUGGAAAGGGAUUUAGGGGUCCUGGUGACAAUGAGCUCGAUGUGGCUGAGCCCUGUGGUGAAAAAAACCCCAGUAGGACACUGGGCUGCAUCACCGAGGAGAAAAAGAACCUACGUGGUGCUGGUCAGACCCCACCUGGAAUAACAUGUUCCAUUUUGGUCCUCACUGUACAAAAAAAGAAGCCAUGGCCAGGCUGGAGAGGGG